RNAcentral lists this ribosomal RNA (554 nucleotides) under uncultured bacterium. Its description in RNAcentral is "partial 16S ribosomal RNA". It matches the Rfam family "Bacterial small subunit ribosomal RNA", at positions 354 to 900 of the family's 1533-position model. The record is from RNAcentral.
UGGGGGAAUUUUGGACAAUGGGCGAAAGCCUGAUCCAGCAAUGCCGCGUGUGUGAAGAAGGCCUUCGGGUUGUAAAGCACUUUUGUCCGGAAAGAAAUCCUUGGCUCUAAUACAGUCGGGGGAUGACGGUACCGGAAGAAUAAGCACCGGCUAACUACGUGCCAGCAGCCGCGGUAAUACGUAGGGUGCAAGCGUUAAUCGGAAUUACUGGGCGUAAAGCGUGCGCAGGCGGUUUGCUAAGACCGAUGUGAAAUCCCCGGGCUCAACCUGGGAACUGCAUUGGUGACUGGCAGGCUAGAGUAUGGCAGAGGGGGGUAGAAUUCCACGUGUAGCAGUGAAAUGCGUAGAGAUGUGGAGGAAUACCGAUGGCGAAGGCAGCCCCCUGGGCCAAUACUGACGCUCAUGCACGAAAGCGUGGGGAGCAAAACAGGAUUAGAUACCCUGGUAGUCCACGCCCUAAACGAUGUCAACUAGUUGUUGGGGAUUCAUUUCCUUAGUAACGUAGCUAACGCGUGAAGUUGACCGCCUGGGGAGUACGGUCGCAAGAUUAAAAC